GACGAACGCUGGCGGCGUGCCUAACACAUGCAAGUCGAACGGACAGGCCCUGCGCUUGUGGGGUUCUCGAGUGGCGAACGGGUGAGUAACACGCGAGUAACCUGCCCUUGACUUUGGGAUAACUUCAGGAAACUGGGGCUAAUACCGGAUAGGAGCUCCUGCCCCGCGGUGGGGGUUGGAAAGUUUCGGCGGUUGGGGAUGGACUCGCGGCUUAUCAGCUUGUUGGUGGAGUAGUGGCUUACCAAGGCUCUGACGGGUAGCCGGCCUGAGAGGGUGGACGGCGUCAAUGGGACUGAGAGAGGGCCCAGACUGCUACGGGACGCAGCGGGGGAAAGUAUUGCACAAUGGGCGGAAGCCUGAGGCAGCAACGCCGCGUGCGGAAUGACGGCCUUCGGGUUGUAAACCGCUUUCGCCUGUGACGAAGCGUGAGUGACGGUAAUGGGUAAAGAAGCACCGGCUAACUACGUG
Molecule: ribosomal RNA, 468 nt
Filed under: uncultured bacterium
Lineage: Bacteria
Description: partial 16S ribosomal RNA
Rfam family: Bacterial small subunit ribosomal RNA
Source: RNAcentral